GCGUUGUUGGUCAAGUGGUAUGAUAACAGCCUUCCAAGCUGUCGGCCCGGGUUCGAUUCCCGGACAUCGCA
Ordospora colligata OC4 is the source of this 71-nucleotide transfer RNA. It matches the Rfam family "tRNA". From Rfam's summary of the family: Transfer RNA (tRNA) molecules are approximately 80 nucleotides in length. Their secondary structure includes four short double-helical elements and three loops (D, anti-codon, and T loops). Further hydrogen bonds mediate the characteristic L-shaped molecular structure. tRNAs have two regions of fundamental functional importance: the anti-codon, which is responsible for specific mRNA codon recognition, and the 3' end, to which the tRNAs corresponding amino acid is attached (by aminoacyl-tRNA synthetases). tRNAs cope with the degeneracy of the genetic code in two manners: having more than one tRNA (with a specific anti-codon) for a particular amino acid; and 'wobble' base-pairing, i.e. permitting non-standard base-pairing at the 3rd anti-codon position. The record is from Rfam. NCBI's taxonomy places the organism in Eukaryota, Fungi, Microsporidia, Ordosporidae.